This 497-nucleotide ribosomal RNA is filed under the name uncultured bacterium. RNAcentral describes it as "partial 16S ribosomal RNA". It matches the Rfam family "Bacterial small subunit ribosomal RNA", at positions 28 to 507 of the family's 1533-position model. The record is from RNAcentral.
GAUGAACGCUGGCGGCGUGCCUAAUACAUGCAAGUCGAGCGAACAGACGAGGAGCUUGCUCCUCUGACGUUAGCGGCGGACGGGUGAGUAACACGUGGAUAACCUACCUAUAAGACUGGGAUAACUUCGGGAAACCGGUGCUAAUACCGGAUAAUAUAUUGAACCGCAUGGUUCAAUAGUGAAAGACGGUUUUGCUGUCACUUAUAGAUGGAUCCGCGCCGCAUUAGCUAGUUGGUAAGGUAACGGCUUACCAAGGCGACGAUGCGUAGCCGACCUGAGAGGGUGAUCGGCCACACUGGAACUGAGACACGGUCCAGACUCCUACGGGAGGCAGCAGUAGGGAAUCUUCCGCAAUGGGCGAAAGCCUGACGGAGCAACGCCGCGUGAGUGAUGAAGUUCUUCGGAUCGUAAAACUCUGUUAGUAGGGAAGAACAAAUGUGUAAGUAACUAUGCACGUCUUGACGGUACCUAAUCAGAAAGCCACGGCUAACUACGUG